CGCAUAAACAAAAGAAAUUUGCCUAAG
RNAcentral lists this small RNA (27 nucleotides) under Bombyx mori (domestic silkworm). RNAcentral describes it as "ovarian small RNA-14340". The record is from RNAcentral. Lineage: Eukaryota; Metazoa; Arthropoda; Insecta; Lepidoptera; Bombycidae.